Ochotona curzoniae (black-lipped pika) is the source of this 838-nucleotide long non-coding RNA. RefSeq lists it as uncharacterized. NCBI's taxonomy places the organism in Eukaryota, Metazoa, Chordata, Mammalia, Lagomorpha, Ochotonidae. The record is from RefSeq and is a predicted model, not a curated record. The transcript is spliced from 4 exons.
AUGGGGUCUCGGGGGCGUGCGGAAGGCCAGGGCCCGACCCCGGCCGCAGACGCCCUCCCGCAGGCUCCCCUUCCGCGCUGGCCGGCCCGCAGCGUCCUGAUGGGUGGUGAGUGGAUUGCGCGGGUGCCUGGCCGCCUUCAUGUGGGACCACGAGGGUAAUGAUGACCUUAGGUGAUUCUGAGUGCCAUCGCUGACGCCAUCACCGCAGCGCGCUGACCGCCCUCUGCCCCCGAGGGGUUGCAGGACCGCCCUCUCCCGUGUUAUCAGUGAGCAAAGGAUGAGAGCUCUGGGACCCCAGCUGGGGUAGUGUCCCUUCAUGCAAGUUUUGGAGCUAGCCCAUUAGUCAUACAGACAGGCCUGGCUAUGUGAUGAUUCCUGCUGCUGUUUCAUCCUUGGGCUGUGACGGGUGGAGAGGAAGCCCUUCCGCGGCAGCAGUAAGUGUCAUUGCCUUUGGUUGUCCGGUGGAGUGGUAAUGAUGACUUCGUUGGACUAGAGUCUCUGAGCUUUCUCUGAGGAUCUUUAAAACCACCUGAUCCACUCCGGCUUCCCCAGCACCCUGUGGGGCAUGUCCCUUGCAGUGUGGUUUCCCUGCUGGUUGCUACCAUGGUUCUAACACAUGUUCCAUUUGUGAAGUUGCAGAAUUUGGCUGACAAGGAUGUCUUCUCGUGUGGAAUAGAUCUUCAGAACUGAAGCCUUCUGGGUGUUUCCUGAGUGGUUAUCGACAAAUGCAAAAAUACUGGAAAGAAAUUCUGAGGCCCAAACAUGUCAAGUAGAAAGCUUGAUUUUUGUUUCGUGCAAGUGCCUAAUUAAAGAUUUCAAUAAAACUAUUUGAAGUAAA